CCCUAGCCCUGAUGGAAGCGGUAUCCUUUUUAUGGCUUUUUUGCUAUAAAAAGAUUAAGCGUACAGCAGGAAAAAGC
RNAcentral lists this small RNA (77 nucleotides) under Flavobacterium sp. 120. RNAcentral describes it as "Flavo-1 RNA". It matches the Rfam family "Flavo-1 RNA". The record is from RNAcentral. Lineage: Bacteria; Pseudomonadati; Bacteroidota; Flavobacteriia; Flavobacteriales; Flavobacteriaceae.